UGGAGAGUUCUCUCAACUACCCUCUUUCUCUCUCUUCUUCUCUCACUAUAUUCUUCGUGUUCUUCAGCUUAAUCUUCAUGUUUUUAUGGUAUCAGAGCCGGAAAAUCUUCCGAUCCUUCUCUGUUAUGUGUUGUCGAUACUUGCUGAAGUUUUUCUUCGGUUAUCUGAGAAAAAUACUGUUCGUAUAUUUUUCGAUAAAUGUUAAUCGGAUAAUCGGGACUUUUCU
This 226-nucleotide long non-coding RNA is filed under the name Nicotiana benthamiana. Its description in RNAcentral is "long non-coding RNA (NBEN_LNC015221)". The record is from RNAcentral. Lineage: Eukaryota; Viridiplantae; Streptophyta; Magnoliopsida; Solanales; Solanaceae.